GACAGUCAAAUCACAAUGAAAACACCAGUUCUCUUUCGAUCACCGAAGUUAAACAUUGUAGAUCCAAGUCAGUACAUAGAUUGGGAACCGCUUGGAAACACCUGGUACUGUA
Molecule: non-coding RNA, 112 nt
Organism: Acanthosepion pharaonis
Lineage: Eukaryota; Metazoa; Mollusca; Cephalopoda; Sepiida; Sepiidae
Source: the annotation of a GenBank genome assembly